CCUUCCCACAAAACUAAAGGAUUUGCACUGCAAAAAGACCAUUGCAGCAUCACUUUGCCAACUCACAAAUUUCUACAAAAAAAACAAUCACAACACAUUCAUUUUUCACACGAAUUUGGAUUCAAAUUGACACGUAUCAACUCUCCUCACUCAGCCUAUAUAACAACCUCACAACUCUCUCCAAAACCAAGCUUGAAAAGCCAAGAUGCCAAAUUUACACCUCAACCUCACUAAAACAGGGCUAUCGAAUUCAUCAAUACACACUACUUCCAACCACUUUUCCCAUCCAGAAUCACUACCCCAUAUACUCUGAAGUUGGUAGAAUUUGAAAGAGAAGGACUCACUUACUUGUUUGAGCUUGCAAAUCCACCAUUUUCACACCUUUGAGCUUGCUUCCGUACAGCCGUUACAUUUGGACUUGAAGUUUUAGGGUUCUUCACUUUGAAGCCCGAUUUCUCUACGCUAUCAUAAAAUUGUUAAGUUCCGAGCUUACUUCUAGCGUCCAUGAUCAGAGCUGAGCACAAUGACUACUUGCUUGUAUUAUGAAGCUUAGAGAUGCUUUUUUAGUUUUUCUAUUGGAAUGAGAAAGAUGACGAACAACACGAUGUUCUUCAGAUUGCAGCGUUUUAAUCACUCUUUUCCAAUUUAAAUUUAAAUUAACAAUUGUGACAAGUGUUUGGUUUCUGACUUUCUUGCUUUAUAUUAGUUGAUGAGUGUGAGUUGGUUUGACUAGUCAGGCAUUACAUUUUUUACUUCAUGUAUAAGACCACCUCCAGUGGUGGUUCCUUCAAUGGGUUUGCCAGCAUGACACCCAUCUUUUCACUUUUUCUAGUUUCAAACA
This is a long non-coding RNA of Lathyrus oleraceus (garden pea), 841 nucleotides long. RefSeq lists it as uncharacterized. The transcript is spliced from 2 exons. The record is from RefSeq and is a predicted model, not a curated record. Lineage: Eukaryota; Viridiplantae; Streptophyta; Magnoliopsida; Fabales; Fabaceae.